Molecule: ribosomal RNA, 305 nt
Filed under: uncultured bacterium
Lineage: Bacteria
Description: bacterial SSU rRNA
Rfam family: Bacterial small subunit ribosomal RNA
Source: RNAcentral
UGGCUCCUACGGGACGCAGCAGUGGGGAAUAUUGCACAAUGGGCGAAAGCCUGAUGCAGCAACGCCGCGUGAAGGAAGAAGGCCUUCGGGUCGUAAACUUCUGUCCUUGGGGAAGAAGAACUGACGGUACCCAAGGAGGAAGCCCCGGCUAACUACGUGCCAGCAGCCGCGGUAAUACGUAGGGGGCAAGCGUUAUCCGGAAUUAUUGGGCGUAAAGAGUACGUAGGGGGAAACCUAAGCGCAGGGUUUAAGGCAAUGGCUCAACCAUUGUUCGCUCUGCGAACUGGGAUGCUUGAGUGCAGGAG